CAAAUCUUAUCUGGUAUUUGUAAUAAAUUUAAAUCUCUAAUCUAAUUGAAGAUAGAUAUCUACAAUUAAUUACACAAUUUAAAACAUGGGGGCUUGCUGGAUAGUUAUUGGCAAUCAUUUACAGUUUUUCUUUAAUAUAUGUUUUAGGUGGAAAAUUUAUCGAAAUGGGCUCAAGAAAAACAAAAGCAUUCUUGAAAGACGGUUUCACCUACACCCAAACUUCUAGUGGUAACUGGUAUUGCAGCAGGAGGAACAACAAAUGCAAAGCGAGAGUGAAAAUUGUUAACUUUGAACAUACUAAAAUUGUGAAUUAUAGUUUUAUUCACAAGGAGCACAAUCAUGAGCCAAGUGUCAUGAAAUUGACUAAGUAUGGAUAUUAUAUACGCGAUCCGUACGGGAGAAGUCCGAUGCCGGCGGUUAACAGACAAGUACCUGUACCGGUGGUUGACAAGCCGAUAUCUCCACCCGUGGCUGACAAUAUAGUGUCUUUACCGAUUGCUGACAAUCUACUGUGUGUACCCGAUUUAGAUUUAUAAUAUAUACAUGUAACAACAUUUCAUUGAAUUUCAUUAAGUACCAGUUGUGUUUUUUUUUCUUUAUAGUGUUAUUUUAAAUAGUACUUUGUACUUUCUAUUCAUAUUUUAUGAGAGGUAGUAGCGGAAUUAUUUUUUCAUCAUACUUGCUCCAAAAAGAUGUUAUUUCAUGUAAGUGUACUGAAGGACAAAGGCCUAUAUUGUUCCCGCGGGAGUUAUAGAUUGGGAAAAAAAGCUAUAACUCCCUAGGGAGUUAUAGAUUUUUUUUUUUUAAUUAUAUCACUAAUUCAUACAAACCAAUUAGCAUAAAUGAGUUUUACUUUUGAAAUACUGACUUUUAUAAUUUAAUGUUUUUGUUUAUGUUUAAAAAUAUUUAAUUUUAUUAAUUUAAUAGGCGUUUAAAAUAUUUUUACAUAAUUUUCUUUCUUGUGGCUGAAUGUCAAAUAGAUACAAAUCUAUUGAUCUGUGCCUUCGAUGCCUAACCUGUCAAGAAAUGACAAUAUGGCGGACGAAUGUUUGAUAUGUCACCAUAUUUAAGAAUUAUUUUUUUCUAUGCAAGUGUUAUGAAAAACAUUGUGUGUAACUCCGGGGGUAAGAAUAUUUCAAACUCGGGUCUCUCAUUCCCUCCAGCCUGCGCUGCGGCUGUCGGGAAUUACCACCCUCGCUUCCAAAAUUAUACUUACCCCCUCGUUACGUUGCACAAUGUACUAAUUUGCACACUGCGAAUUUGAAUUCACUGGCCUUACAUACGCGCAGAGCUUGUUGGUUAAAUUAUGAUGUAUUGUCAGUUUUUAAAGAAAAAAUCUCUGUUUUAGAUGGCAUAUUUAUCGAAAUAGGCUCGAAAAGAGCGAGAGCAUUCUUAAAAAAUGGUUUCACAUAUACUAAGAGUUCUAGUAAAUUCAACUGGUGUUGCUCUAAGAAGAAUAAAGGAUGUAAAGCGAAAGUGAGAAUCAUUCCGGGGUCUGAUGAUAAAGCAGUGAAGAGCAGCUAUGUCAAUAGGAAACACAACCACGAGCGAAGUCUAUUGAUACGUACUAAGGGUGGAUAUUAUAUACGCAAUACAAUAUCUAUACCAGUUGAAGAUUGUAUACGACUCAGCAAAAAUCUUUGUAAAAAUUGAAACUAUUGUGGUAUUAAUGUUAAAAUACAUGCUGUUACGCGAAUUUGACAGAGAUAAAAUCUUGACCAUUGUAUUUUAGUUUUAAUAUCAAUUUGACUAACGAUACUUAAAUUGUGUUGUUUUUCGGUGCAUAUCGUUUUGUGUUAAAAAUAAGUUCUUUUUUUAUUUAUAGAACAAUUACAAAUCAUGAGUAUUCUGAUACUGAUUUUCGCUUUAGCGUGAUGAAUCAAUUGUUUGUGAUGUUCAAUAAACAGGAUGUGUAAUCUUUUUUAACUUUGUAUGCUGUUUUAAUUCAUCAAAUAAUCUAUGAAUAUAGACGAUUGUUGGUUGGUUGUUUUUAAGAACAAACGCUUCUCUUCUCCUUUCAGGAGGUACAUUUAUCGAAAUAGGCAAGAAAAGAGCAAGAGCGUUUAUGCAUGAUGGUUACACUUACACCAAGUGUGCUAGUGAAUUCAACUGGUAUUGUUCUAAGAAGAAUCAGCGAUGUAAGGCGAAAGUGAGAAUUAUUCCCGGUUUUGAUGAAACUGCGGCGAAGUGCAGCUAUAUCAAUAGCCAACACAAUCACGCACGAAGUAUCUUGAAACGUACAAAGGAAGGGUAUUAUGUACGAAAACCAAUACCGACUGUGGUUGAAAAAGUUUUUCUUUAAUUUCGUAGGUACUUGAAGCCAAACUGCAUAUGUUGCAGCUCUUGUUGAUUUCCUUUUAAAAUGCAAUAUAAUUUGAAGAAACGAUCACAAUUCAAUAACGAAACUAAAAUAUACUAGUCAACGCCUGUUUGGUAAUAAUAUAUAUAUAUAGUCCUCCUCAUCGAUUUCGAUGACGGCGACCUCAGCAAUUACGGAUUACGCCGAUUAUGGGCCCUAAUGUGGCUAGCCAGGCCGAACUUGGUCUUAAAGACUCUUUUGCAGGUGUUACAAUAUAGUUGACCAGACGCGUUGUAUGUACGAGUAUGUAUUUUUAUAGGCAGACGUCCGGUUUAUUAUCCCAUCGCCCAGUAUUUAUUCCAUCGCUUUUACCCAAUAGCCUAGUUCAUUUUAGACUCCUUCCACUCUCAAUAGUCCUUACACCCUUGCGGGUACUGCCUCCUCGUGCGUCUCAUAACACGGGCAAGGGCAGCAAUGGCAGCAUCCGCUUGGUGUACCCUUUACAUUUCAUUCAAGUGUUAAAACAGCCCCUACGUGUUAUGCUUCAGCUCCGCGCACACCUCCCAAAGGUCUGGAACACCAUUGUCCCGUGAUAGGGAAGAUAUACUUAUGUUUCCUACAUAUAUUGUUCGUCGACUAAUAUUUUUAUUAUUGUUUUUGUCUCAGGGGUAUAUGUUUUCGUGUGACUUGUAAAUGUAAACAAAGACGUAGUUUAAAUACAAAUAGCUAUGUACUUUAGAACAUCUCUUGUAUUAAUAAUGUUGUAUAAGUAUUUUAAAUUUUAGUCUAAGAUUACACUUUGUUUAGGAAGCACUGGUGGCCUAGCGGUAAGAGCGUGCGACUUGCAAUCCGAAGGUCGCGGGUUCAAACCCCGGCUCAUACCAAUGAGUUUUUCGGAACUUAUGUACGGAAUAUCAUUUGAUAUUUACCAGUCGCUUUUCGGUGAAGGAAAACAUCGUGAGUAAACCGGACUAAUCCCAACAAGGCCUAGUUUUACCCCCUGGGUUGGCAGGUCAGAUGGCAGUCGCUUUCGUAAAAAGUAGUGCCUACGCCAAAUCUUGGGAUUAGUUGUCAAGCGGACCCCAGGCUCCCAUGAGCCGUGGCAAUAUGCCGGAACAACGCUAGGAAGAAGAAGAAGAAGAUUACACUGUGUUUAGGCAAAAUUUGUAGGUUUCUUCAACAUUUUUAACCAACAAAGGUUGUGCCAUUUCCGCAUUUACCUCCGAGAUAUUACUUAAUAAAGUAGCGUAAUAUUGUACAAUGUGGUUUUUCAUUAAUAAUAAUAGAAUAUUUAAUUAAUAAUAAUAGAAUACAAUACUCUUUUUUUUAAUAAAUAUUAUAGGACAUUAUUACACAAAUCUCAAUAAGGCUUGUGUUGAGAGUACUUAGACAACGAUAUAUAUAAUAUAUAAAUAUUUAUAAAUACUUAAAUACAUAGAAAACACCCAUGACUCAGGAUCAAAUAUCCAUGUUCAUCACACGAAUAAAUAAAUGCCCUUAACAGGAUUUGAACCCGGAACCAUCGGCUUCAUAGGCAGGGUCACUACCCAUUAGGCCAGACCGGUCAUCAAACUCUUUAUUGCAUAAGUAUAUUAUUUUCGAUUAAGUCCCGUAUUCGUUUUAAAACUAUAUUUUUUCUCUUUCAGGAGGCACAUUCAUCCAAAUCGGUCCAAAAAAGGCAACGGUAUUUUUGAAAGAUGGCUACACUUAUAACAAGUGUGGUAAACACACUUGGUAUUGCUCAAAAAAGUUUAAAGGAUGCAGGGCAAAAGUGCACAUUGCUCCUGGUCCUGAUAAUACAGAAGUUGCGAGGUGUACAGGAGGCACAUUCAUCCAAAUGGGCCCAAAAAAGGCAACGGUAUUCUUGAAAGAUGGCUACACUUAUAACAAGGGUGGUAAACGCAACUGGUAUUGCUCAAAAAAGUUUAAAGGAUGCAGGGCAAAAGUGCACAUUGCUCCUGGUCCUAAUAAUAUAGAAGUUGUGAGGUGUUCAGGUGAUCACAAUCAUGAAAGGAAUAUGUUGAAACGUACUGAAGACGGGUAUUAUAUUCGGCCAGGAGCUCUUGGACGGAAUCCAAAACCUCUAACUAUACCUUCACCAGUGGGAAAAGCAUUGUCAUGCUCAGAAAUGGGCUGGUAUUUAACUGAUCACCAGAUAUAGUAAAAUUUAACAUCAAAACAACCUUUUUUACCACCAAAAAUAGUAAAUGAUAACCAAAAUCAAAGCUCCAUUUUAAUCAAACUAACCAUUGUUAACCCAAAAAUAGUAACUGAUCACUAAAAUGAAAACCCAAUUUUAAUGUAAAAUUAUAACCAAACUUUUUAUGUUCAUCUUACUAUCGUGUUAAAGCAAAUAACUCAAAAAGAAUCGUUGUUAACCCAAAAAUAGUCAAUAACCACCAAAAUAUUAACCACAUUUUAAUUUAUAAUGUCAUGCAAACAUUUAACAUUUCGUUAUCCUAUUAAAUUAAUCCUAUAAAUACUUCGUUGCCUUUUUCUGUAGCAUUUCGUUUCUGUAAGGGUCGCAGUUCUAACCUAACCCACUUUUCUGACAGAAAAUAAUGAAUAGAUUCAGGCGUUACUCUGCGGCAAACCAUACUAAUUAAAACAAACAAUAUUACUUUGCUAAUCCGCGAAUAGAUAACGUGCUAAUCAAUCAGUGCUAACCCGUUAUAAUUACUUGCGUAUUAAUUGCAUGUAAAGGAAAUAUUUUUUGUUUUGAUUUCUGACAGGAGUUCGGUUCUGUGAGGAUCAUUUUACUUUAUUUGGUAAUAUGUAAUUACGUAUACAUUUUGUAGUAAUCAUUUACUAUAAAAUGUAUACAUAUUACCAAAUAAAGUAAAAUGAUCCUCACAGAACCGAACUGCUUUAUUUACUCUUCAAGAUUUUGUGAUCAUUCAUUAUAUUUGGUGUUUGAAAAAAAAUUGAAGUGCAGUCGUGAUUAGUCGUAAAGGAUGUAAUUUUAGACCUUACUUUUUUGGUAAGAGUGAUUUUUUAUUAAGGGUACUAAAGUAUUUUAUGGUGGUCAUUUUAAUUGUAGCUUUGGUAAUCCGGCAGGAGAUAGUUUAAAUCUUGACUAGAAAGUAGCACUUAGUUGUACACCUGAACCUAACAGUCCAACAAUUAUUAAUAUAACUAGUUGUACUUAAUAUAUACUAAUGUGAUUUAUUUGCAUUAGAUUCUUCGCCGUCUUUUUGUGUGUUUCUCCCUGGGCUCAAGGAGUUAUCUCCUCGAACCUUUUUUCUUCUUGGAUCGCCCAUUUUCCCUGAAGCUAUUCCAGAGGCCUUUGAGGUGCGAAAGCAGCUUCUCCUGACCGCCAGGAAAGCCAUUUCUGCGCACGUAGCUCUUUUGUUGUUGCGGGUUUGUUUUGUCGAUCCCAAAUUGACUUACUUCUUGCGCACCGUACCGUCUUGGCUUUACCCCGUGCAUAUUGAAUCCUUUGAUUGUGUGUUAAGGGAGUCAUUGAAAAAUGAAAAUGAAAAUGAAAAAAUAUUUAUUACCUUAUAAAGUAAAGGUUUACAAUUUGACAUAAGUGGUUGGAGCUUCCUUUUAGGUGAAUGUUACUAUUAAAUGUUUCCCUUGAUUCGAAUCAAUGGGAUCUGGCCUCACUCCCUAUUCGGACCGGUGGUCUGGGUAUUCGGCGUGCGUGGAAUGUGAGCCUGCUGGCCUUCUUGGCCGGCUGGGGUUUGUGGCCUUGUCACUCAAAUUUUAUCUUCGAAUGGUGACGAGGUAGCUAUACCUUAUGCUGCGGAUGCUUUGGCAGCAUGGUCGGCUCUCAAUCCGGGUACGCUAGUACCGGAGGAACUGGACCGUCAGCGCUCAUGGGACGAUAUAGGGGUAAGGCGGGUAUUCAAUGGCUUGUUGGAGAAUGCGGCGGGUGUGGAUAGGGCGAAGCUCAAGGCUGUGUCGAGGCCUGAGUCCGGGGCGUGGCUUCAGGCGCUUCCUUCCCAGCAUUUAGCUACCCUUCUUGACAAUGACUCGAUGCGGGUGGCCGUGGCUCUUCGCCUGGGCUGUACUGUGUGUGAACCUCAUGUAUGCAUCUGCGGCUCUAUAGUGGAGAGGGACGGCCAUCACGCGUUGAGUUGUUGUCGUUGUGAAUGUUACUUCAUCAUCAUGCUAUGGAUCAUAAUUUACAAAUUAUUUACGAAAAACGAAAGAAAAGGAACCUUAGAAUUGAUUUUAAUUGACUUUCUCCCUUUAAUAUCUUUUUAAAUAUUGAUACUUUCAAAAAGUUUACUGAAUCUUUUUUGUAAAAAAAAUGUGUAAAUUAUUUACGUUUAACAAGGUUUUUGCUAUUUACGGGUUAUUCACGAAAAUAUAGUAAAAUAGACCAUAAAAUUGAUUUUAAUAAACUUUCGCGCUUUAUUAUUUUUUAAAUGUUGAUCCUAGCGAAAAAGUGCACUGAAUCUUUCGAUUAGGCAAUUUUAUAUAUAUUAUUUACGUUACAGAAAUUUUUUUGCUAUGGGCCACCGUUUACGAGUUAUUUAAGAAAAACUGAAAAAAGGGACCUUUAAACCCGUUAAAAACGUGCUUUGUGGAGCAUCUGGGGGAGGCCUAUGUCCAGCAGUGGACUGCAACAGGCUGACGAUAAUGAUGAUGAAGUAUCGUUGGUGGCGUGGUAACCUUCCUGGUUACCACGCCACCACGCCUUGAAUGAUGUCGUACGAAGGGCGUUGGUCUCAGCGAAUGUGCCUUGUAUGCUGGAGCCACCGGGUCUUAGUAGAUCUGAUGGGAAGAGGCCCGACGGGUUGACCUUGGUCCCGUGGGAGAGGGGCAGAUGUGGGACGCCACGUGCGUCAGCACUUUUGCUGCUUCGCAUGUCAGCCGUACUGUGCGUUCGGCGGGGGCAGCGGCUGAGCUAGCGGCGGCUCGAAAGCGGGAAAAGUAUGCGGGGACGAACUACCUAUUUGUUCCUCUUGCCGUGGAAACCGCUGGCUGCUGGUGUUCUGAGGCCAAGACGUUUAUUGGGGAAGUGGGCAGACGUUUGAGAGAGAGUGGUCAUGACCCUCGUUACGGGUCAUUCUUUAUGCAAAGGUUGGGCUCCUUUGCAUCUGGAGGAACGCGGGGCGAAUUUCGGUAAUAAUUUUUGUGUUUGUUUGUUUUUAAUUUAGGUUAAGAUUUUUUGUAAGUAGAUUUUAAGAUUUUCAUUUUGUAUCUUUGAUUAUCAUCAUUAUUUGUUAGUAAAGUCUAACAAUCUAAUGCAAAUAAAUCACAAGUUGUACUAGGUUUUACUACACUUUUACUUUCCACUGACUGAAUCUCAGCGUACCAAGUUCAUGAGGACAUUUAUUUAAGGGACCGCAUGGCUUUUAAUCACAUAAAAAAUAAGAAAGCUAAAGAAUAGGUAAAUUCAUCUUGCAAAGCGCUUUUAGGCGUUAUUAAUAACGCCUGUGGUGUUAAUUAAAAAAAGUUUUCAUUAGUGGAAUGUUACGAUGAUGGUUGAAAUGUUGUUAGUUGUUAUGCCGUUACAAUUAUGAUAUUUGUUGUAAAAUGAAUAAUAGAAGUAAAAUUUGUGUUUUUAAGAAAUAUUGCUUAUGGCUACAGAAUUUAAAACCACUGUAAGGUUGGUUGUUUUGAGGGAGAAUGUGAAAUUGCUGUCUCCUUCAAAACGAUUAUAAAACAUAUAAUUAAGUGAUUUCCUCACAGUAGUAAUGAAGAGCGCUUUCUAAUAACUCAACCGAAAGUUUAAGAUAGCUAAUUAAAUUUUACCCACUGCACCUUAAGUUAAACAUAUCUCUGAUUAAUAUACUCACUAUAAUUAGUGAAAUUUAAGUUAGUGUAACUAGCUUUAUAACUAUUUUGGUAUGUCUUUGAAUUAUUGUUUUUAUUAUAUUCGUAGGAUAUAUGUUAUAGGCUCAUUAAUUUUUAUUACUUUUAUACUUAUUGUUUUCAUUAUUGAUGUACAUAGUACAGUCAGCAUCGAAAGUAGCGGAUGAAACAACGCGCCAAAAAUAUCUGAUAUUCCGUAUAACUUUUCCAAAUGUAGAUAAUUUUCUAAAAUUCGCGUUCAAAAAUACAUCUUUUACAGUCUUAGUUUUUCUACAUUAAAGACAUCAAUUUUUGUUAAGCUGUUAUAGAAUGGUAGAUGCUUAUGAAGCGUUAUUUGAUCCGCUACUUUUGAUGCUGACUGUACAUAAGUUGAUAAUAAAAUCAAUGCCAUACAUUUAUCUGUUAUGAAUAAAUUUAAUGUAAUCAAUUAUAAUUAUUGUAAUCUCAACGGAAUAAUAUACUCUUUAAGUAAAUUA
Long non-coding RNA from Cydia pomonella (codling moth), 8544 nucleotides. RefSeq lists it as uncharacterized. The transcript has 2 exons. The record is from RefSeq and is a predicted model, not a curated record. NCBI's taxonomy places the organism in Eukaryota, Metazoa, Arthropoda, Insecta, Lepidoptera, Tortricidae.